This 469-nucleotide ribosomal RNA is filed under the name Photobacterium sp. CS5. RNAcentral describes it as "bacterial SSU rRNA". It matches the Rfam family "Bacterial small subunit ribosomal RNA", at positions 12 to 475 of the family's 1533-position model. The record is from RNAcentral. Lineage: Bacteria; Pseudomonadati; Pseudomonadota; Gammaproteobacteria; Vibrionales; Vibrionaceae.
UUUGAUGGUGGCUCAGAUUGAACGCUGGCGGCAGGCCUAACACAUGCAAGUCGAGCGGUAACAGAAAGAAAGCUUGCUUUCUUUGCUGACGAGCGGCGGACGGGUGAGUAAUGCCUGGGAAUAUACCCUGAUGUGGGGGAUAACUAUUGGAAACGAUAGCUAAUACCGCAUAAUCUCUUCGGAGCAAAGAGGGGGACCUUCGGGCCUCUCGCGUCAGGAUUAGCCCAGGUGGGAUUAGCUAGUUGGUGGGGUAAUGGCUCACCACGGCGACGAUCCCUAGCUGGUCUGAGAGGAUGAUCAGCCACACUGGAACUGAGACACGGUCCAGACUCCUACGGGAGGCAGCAGUGGGGAAUAUUGCACAAUGGGGGAAACCCUGAUGCAGCCAUGCCGCGUGUAUGAAGAAGGCCUUCGGGUUGUAAAGUACUUUCAGUUGUGAGGAAGGCGUUGGAGUUAAUAGCUUCAGCGC